UUCCGGUUGAUCCCCGCCGGACCUGACUGCUAUCGGAUUGGUACUAAGCCAUGCGAGUCGUUGUAGCAAUACAAGGCGGACGGCUCAGUAACACGUAGUCAACCUAACCUAUGGACGUGGAUAACCUCGGGAAACUGAGAAUAAACCGCGAUAGAUCAUUAUGCCUGGAAUGGCUUAUGGUUCAAACAAUUUAUUGCCGUAGGAUGGGACUGCGGCCUAUCAGCUUGUUGGUGAGGUAAUGGCCCACCAAGGCUAUAACAGGUACGGGCUCUGAGAGGAGAAGCCCGGAGAUGGGUACUGAGACACGGACCCAGGCCCUAUGGGGCGCAGCAGGCGAGAAACCUUAGCAAUGUGCGAAAGCACGACUAGGUUAAUCCGAGUGAUUUCUGUUGAAGAAAUCUUUUGUCAGUCGUAAAACCACAGACGAAUAAGGGGUGGGCAAGUCUGGUGUCAGCCGCCGCGGUAAUACCAGCACCUCGAGUGGUCAGGAGGUUUAUUGGGCCUAAAGCAUCCGUAGCCGGCUACGCAAGUCUCCGGUUAAAUCCAGCUGCUCAACAGAUGGGCUGCCGGAGAUACUACAUAGCUAGGGAGCGGGAGAGGUAGACGGUAUUCUGUGGGUAGGGGUAAAAUCCACUGAUCCAUAGAGGACCACCAGUGGCGAAGGCGGUCUACCAGAACGCGUUCGACGGUGAGGGAUGAAAGCUGGGGGAGCAAACCGGAUUAGAUACCCGGGUAGUCCCAGCUGUAAACGAUGCAAACUCGGUGAUGCAUUGGCUUAUGGCCAAUGCAGUGCCGCAGGGAAGCCGUUAAGUUUGCCGCCUGGGAAGUACGGACGCAAGUCUGAAACUUAAAGGAAUUGGCGGGGGAGCA
RNAcentral lists this ribosomal RNA (870 nucleotides) under uncultured archaeon. RNAcentral's name for it is "bacterial SSU rRNA". It matches the Rfam family "Archaeal small subunit ribosomal RNA", at positions 1 to 878 of the family's 1478-position model. The record is from RNAcentral.